UCCCCGUUCUCCUGGGCAGUCUCUCCAGAGUUCUCGGCUUGACCCGUUAGUAACUGAAGACAGGGGUUGCGCUCGUUGCGGGACUUAACCCAACACCCCACGGCACGAGCUGACGACAGCCAUGCACCACCUGUGCAGGCUCCGAAGAGCGCCCGCUUUCACGGGUUUCACCCUGCAUGUCAAGCCCAGGUAAGGUUCUUCGCGUCGCAUCGAAUUAAGCAACAUGCUCCGCCGCUUGCGCGGGGCCCCGUCAAUUCCUUUGAGUUUCAGCCUUGCGGCCGUACUCCCCAGGCGGAGUGCUUAAUGCGUUAGCUGCAGCACUAAAGGGCGGAAACCCUCUAACACUUAGCACUCAUCGUUUACAGCGUGGACUAC
This 375-nucleotide unclassified non-coding RNA is filed under the name uncultured bacterium. Its description in RNAcentral is "contains 16S-23S intergenic spacer region". The record is from RNAcentral.